RNAcentral lists this ribosomal RNA (392 nucleotides) under Sarocladium strictum. RNAcentral describes it as "partial small subunit ribosomal RNA". It matches the Rfam family "Eukaryotic small subunit ribosomal RNA", at positions 30 to 432 of the family's 1831-position model. Lineage: Eukaryota; Fungi; Ascomycota; Sordariomycetes; Hypocreales; Sarocladiaceae. The record is from RNAcentral.
GCUUGUCUCAAAGAUUAAGCCAUGCAUGUCUAAGUAUAAGCAUUAUACAGUGAAACUGCGAAUGGCUCAUUAUAUCAGUUAUAGUUUAUUUGAUAGUCCCUACUAUUUGGAUAACCGUAGUAAUUCUAGAGCUAAUACAUGCGUCAAGCCUCGACUCACGGAGAGGUGUAUUUAUUAGAUACAACCAGCCCUUCGGGGCUCCUUGGUGAUUCAUGAUAACUAUACGAAUCGCACGGCCUUGCGCCGGCGAUGGUUCAUUCAAAUUUCUUCCCUAUCAACUUUCGAUGUUUGGGUAUUGGCCAAACAUGGUUGCAACGGGUAACGGAGGGUUAGGGCUCGACCCCGGAGAAGGAGCCUGAGAAACGGCUACUACAUCCAAGGAAGGCAGCAGG